Molecule: ribosomal RNA, 1398 nt
Filed under: uncultured bacterium
Lineage: Bacteria
Description: bacterial SSU rRNA
Rfam family: Bacterial small subunit ribosomal RNA
Source: RNAcentral
GAAUUCGCCCUUAGAGUUUGAUCCUGGCUCAGGACGAACGCUGGCGGCGUGCCUAACACAUGCAAGUCGAGCGGAGACAUCAGAGAGCUUGCUCAAAGAUGUUUUAGCGGCGGACGGGUGAGUAACGCGUGAACAAUCUGUCCCAGUCAGGGGGAUAACAACUGGAAACAGUUGCUAAUACCGCAUAAGACCACGAACCGGCAUCGGUUUGAGGUAAAAGGAGUAAUCCGGAUUGGGGUGAGUUCGCGUCCGAUUAGAUAGUUGGCGGGGUAACGGCCCACCAAGUCAGCGAUCGGUAGCCGACCUGAGAGGGUGAUCGGCCACAUUGGAACUGAGAGACGGUCCAAACUCCUACGGGAGGCAGCAGUGGGGAAUAUUGGGCAAUGGGCGAAAGCCUGACCCAGCAACGCCGCGUGAGGGAAGAAGGUUUUCGGAUUGUAAACCUCUGUCCUCAGGGACGAAGAAAGUGACGGUACCUGAGGAGGAAGCCCCGGCUAACUACGUGCCAGCAGCCGCGGUAAUACGUAGGGGGCGAGCGUUGUCCGGAAUGACUGGGCGUAAAGGGCGUGUAGGCGGCCUGAUAAGAAUGAAGUGAAAGUCCUGCUUUCAAGGUGGGAAUUGCUUUGUUGACUGUCGGGCUUGAGUGCGGAAGAGGUAAGUGGAAUUCCCAGUGUAGCGGUGAAAUGCGUAGAGAUUGGGAAGAACACCAGUGGCGAAGGCGACUUACUGGGCCGUAACUGACGCUGAGGCGCGAAAGCGUGGGGAGCGAACAGGAUUAGAUACCCUGGUAGUCCACGCUGUAAACGAUGAAUGCUAGGUGUAGCGGGUAUCGACCCCUGCUGUGCCGCAGUAAACACAAUAAGCAUUCCGCCUGGGGAGUACGGCCGCAAGGUUGAAACUCAAAGGAAUUGACGGGGGCCCGCACAAGCAGCGGAGCAUGUGGUUUAAUUCGACGCAACGCGAAGAACCUUACCAGGUCUUGACAUCGAUGUAAAGCUGUAGAAAUACAGUGUGGCUUCGGCCGACAGAAGACAGGUGGUGCAUGGUUGUCGUCAGCUCGUGUCGUGAGAUGUUGGGUUAAGUCCCGCAACGAGCGCAACCCCUAUUGUCAGUUACUAACGAGUGAAGUUGAGGACUCUGGAGAGACUGCCGGGGAUAACUCGGAGGAAGGUGGGGACGACGUCAAAUCAUCAUGCCCCUUAUGACCUGGGCUACACACGUGCUACAAUGGUGUUGAACAAAGAGGAGCGAGCCUGUGAAGGUAAGCGGAUCUCAAAAAAGACAUCUCAGUUCGGACUGUGGGCUGCAACCCGCCCACACGAAGUUGGAGUUGCUAGUAAUCGCGAAUCAGAAUGUCGCGGUGAAUACGUUCCCGGGCCUUGCACACACCGCCCGUCA